UGCCAGCCGCCGCGGUAAUACCGGCAGCCCGAGUGAUGACCGAUCUUAUUGGGCCUAAAGCGUCCGUAGCUGGCUGCGCAAGUCCGUCGGGAAAUCCACUCGCCCAACGAGUGGGCGUCCGACGGAAACUGCACAGCUUGGGACCGGAAGGCUCGAAGGGUACGUGCGGGGUAGGAGUGAAAUCCCAUAAUCCCGCACGGACCACCGAUGGCGAAAGCACUUCGAGAAAACGGAUCCGACAGUGAGGGACGAAAGCCAGGGUCUCCAACCGGAUUAGAUA
This 280-nucleotide ribosomal RNA is filed under the name uncultured bacterium. RNAcentral's name for it is "partial 16S ribosomal RNA". It matches the Rfam family "Archaeal small subunit ribosomal RNA", at positions 456 to 735 of the family's 1478-position model. The record is from RNAcentral.